Molecule: long non-coding RNA, 135 nt
Organism: Chiloscyllium plagiosum (whitespotted bambooshark)
Lineage: Eukaryota; Metazoa; Chordata; Chondrichthyes; Orectolobiformes; Hemiscylliidae
Source: RefSeq, a predicted model, not a curated record
AUUGAUCCUUUGUGUUUGGGAGAGAAAAAGAACCUUUCAAGUAAUAUUAAAACGCAGGGCUUUCUUGCACUACUUCAGAAGUUUUAACCAUAGCAGGAUGAGGGCAUCACUCGCUAGGCCAGCAUUCAUUGUGAA